RNAcentral lists this ribosomal RNA (253 nucleotides) under uncultured bacterium. RNAcentral's name for it is "partial 16S ribosomal RNA". It matches the Rfam family "Bacterial small subunit ribosomal RNA", at positions 524 to 776 of the family's 1533-position model. The record is from RNAcentral.
UACGAAGGGGGCUAGCGUUGCUCGGAAUCACUGGGCGUAAAGCGCACGUAGGCGGAUUCUUAAGUCGGCGGUGAAAUCCUGGAGCUCAACUCCAGAACUGCCUUCGAUACUGAGAGUCUUGAGUUCGGGAGAGGUGAGUGGAACUGCGAGUGUAGAGGUGAAAUUCGUAGAUAUUCGCAAGAACACCAGUGGCGAAGGCGGCUCACUGGCCCGAUACUGACGCUGAGGCACGAAAGCGUGGGGAGCAAACAGG